This 550-nucleotide ribosomal RNA is filed under the name uncultured bacterium. RNAcentral's name for it is "bacterial SSU rRNA". It matches the Rfam family "Bacterial small subunit ribosomal RNA", at positions 355 to 896 of the family's 1533-position model. The record is from RNAcentral.
UAGGGAAUCUUCGGCAAUGGGGGGAACCCUGACCGAGCAACGCCGCGUGAGUGAAGAAGGUUUUCGGAUCGUAAAGCUCUGUUGUUAAGGAAGAACGAGUGUGAGAAUGGAAAGUUCAUGCUGUGACGGUACUUAACCAGAAAGGGACGGCUAACUACGUGCCAGCAGCCGCGGUAAUACGUAGGUCCCGAGCGUUGUCCGGAUUUAUUGGGCGUAAAGCGAGCGCAGGCGGUUAGAAAAGUCUGAAGUGAAAGGCAGUGGCUCAACCAUUGUAGGCUUUGGAAACUGUUUAACUUGAGUGCAGAAGGGGAGAGUGGAAUUCCAUGUGUAGCGGUGAAAUGCGUAGAUAUAUGGAGGAACACCGGUGGCGAAAGCGGCUCUCUGGUCUGUAACUGACGCUGAGGCUCGAAAGCGUGGGGAGCGAACAGGAUUAGAUACCCUGGUAGUCCACGCCGUAAACGAUGAGUGCUAGGUGUUAGGUCCUUUCCGGGACUUAGUGCCGCAGCUAACGCAUUAAGCACUCCGCCUGGGGAGUACGACCGCAAGGUUG